Molecule: transfer RNA, 88 nt
Filed under: Pseudomonadales bacterium
Lineage: Bacteria; Pseudomonadati; Pseudomonadota; Gammaproteobacteria; Pseudomonadales
Also listed under: 1 other name
Description: tRNA-Leu
Rfam family: tRNA
About the family: Transfer RNA (tRNA) molecules are approximately 80 nucleotides in length. Their secondary structure includes four short double-helical elements and three loops (D, anti-codon, and T loops).
Source: RNAcentral
GCCGGAGUGGCGGAAUGGCAGACGCGAUGGAUUCAAAAUCCAUUGACCUUUAACGGUCGUGUGGGUUCGACUCCCACCUUCGGCACCA